This 305-nucleotide ribosomal RNA is filed under the name uncultured bacterium. Its description in RNAcentral is "bacterial SSU rRNA". It matches the Rfam family "Bacterial small subunit ribosomal RNA", at positions 335 to 655 of the family's 1533-position model. The record is from RNAcentral.
GUUCCUACGGGGGGCAGCAGUAGGGAAUUUUGCGCAAUGGGCGAAAGCCUGACGCAGCAACACCGCGUGAAUGUUAAGCCCUUCGGAUUGUAAACUUAUUUUAUCAGGGAAGAAAAAAAUGACUGUACCUGAAGAAGAAGCACCGGCUAACUACGUGCCAGCAGCCGCGGUAAUACGUAGGGUGCAAGCGUUAUCCGGAUUUACUGGGUGUAAAGGGCGAGUAGACGGCGUUGCAAGUCAGAUGUGAAAGGCUAGGGCUCAACCUUAGGAGAGCAUCUGAAACUGUAAUGCUAGAGUGCAGGAGA